Molecule: microRNA precursor, 57 nt
Filed under: Rattus norvegicus (Norway rat)
Lineage: Eukaryota; Metazoa; Chordata; Mammalia; Rodentia; Muridae
Description: Rno-Mir-506-P5_pre stem-loop
Source: RNAcentral
UUCACAAGAAGGUGUCUUUCAUGGGGAUUAAAACAUGAACGGCCCUUGUUGUGAGGA